This is a long non-coding RNA of Lethenteron reissneri (Far Eastern brook lamprey), 786 nucleotides long. RefSeq lists it as uncharacterized. The record is from RefSeq and is a predicted model, not a curated record. NCBI's taxonomy places the organism in Eukaryota, Metazoa, Chordata, Hyperoartia, Petromyzontiformes, Petromyzontidae.
CUUUCACCUCCUUUUUUUCAAGACGUCUGGCCCAGCGUGCAAGGGCAGGCAAAAACAAUACCCCCCGAGUGCAAUGGCAGGAGCAAGUCACGUCGUGGUGAUGUGCAACUUUACCUUUCACCGACGACGGUGUCCUGGUGUGUGUAUGCAGAGCACAGCACGCAAAGAAGAAUCGAAUGAAGAACGAGGGACGGUUCUUGUUUUCUCAUCGCGUGGGUUCCUGUCAGAGAAGCAGAUGUCUCUGCGGAUGACAGUCCCACCUUGACGCCCCGUGUCAACGCUAAGCGCACUCCAUGGCCAGCCUGGUGAACUCUUCGACAUGGUGCGACGGCGUGGCGGCGCAACGCGACCAAAACUUUGCUCGAUGAUCAAGAAAGCGACGAAACCUCCUCCCUGCUUAUCCCACCCAACGAGUCGAGCGGUCAAACGCACCCAUUGGCAAUUAGUCAGCCUCACAAUCUCCUGCAUAGAGCAACCGUGAAAAGGGGGUCUGGGAGAUCCAUUAAAAGCGGCCAAAGAGCAGCUACAAUUUAUGGAGAAUAACAUUCCAUCCCUAUUGUGAGCGCGCCUGCGGCUGGGUAUGUACGUCAUUUUCGGGCUUCUGGGGAGCUGAAAGGGCCUCAAAGAUUGAAACUACACGUUAGCAUAAAAAUGCAGUCGAGUUUUAACGCGUUUCAAAAUCGUACAAAAGGACAGCGCUAGCCUUUUGUGGAAGGACCCUUCACAAAGAGGAGUAAGUUUGAGGAGUACGUAGAAAAGUUCAAAAUAACAAGAGUUAUAGCAGCA